Molecule: ribosomal RNA, 196 nt
Filed under: uncultured bacterium
Lineage: Bacteria
Description: partial 16S ribosomal RNA
Rfam family: Bacterial small subunit ribosomal RNA
Source: RNAcentral
ACGCUCGACACCUACGGGAGCAGCAGUGGGGAAUAUUGCACAAUGGGGGAAACCCUGAUGCAGCAACGCCGCGUGAAGGAAGACGGUUUUCGGAUUGUAAACUUCUGUUCUUAGUGAAGAUAGUGACGGUAGCUAAGGAGCAAGCCACGGCUAACUACGUGCAGCAGCCGCGGUAAUCUGAGCGGGCUGGCAAGGC